Molecule: ribosomal RNA, 254 nt
Filed under: uncultured bacterium
Lineage: Bacteria
Description: partial 16S ribosomal RNA
Rfam family: Bacterial small subunit ribosomal RNA
Source: RNAcentral
UACGUAGGGUGCGAGCGUUGUCCGGAAUUAUUGGGCGUAAAGAGCUCGUAGGCGGUUUGUCGCGUCGGCCGUGAAAACCUGGGGCUUAACUCUGGGCUUGCGGUCGAUACGGGCAUCACUGGAGUUCGGCAGGGGAGACUGGAAUUCCUGGUGUAGCGGUGAAAUGCGCAGAUAUCAGGAGGAACACCGGUGGCGAAGGCGGGUCUCUGGGCCGAUACUGACGCUGAGGAGCGAAAGCGUGGGGAGCGAACAGG